This is a long non-coding RNA of Hordeum vulgare subsp. vulgare (domesticated barley), 1892 nucleotides long. RefSeq lists it as uncharacterized. The transcript is spliced from 3 exons. The record is from RefSeq and is a predicted model, not a curated record. Lineage: Eukaryota; Viridiplantae; Streptophyta; Magnoliopsida; Poales; Poaceae.
ACGAAGCACAAGGAAUUCGUCUUCCGCCGCCCUGCGGCUCUCUCACUAAUCUCAAGGAACGGCUUUUCAACUUCGUUGAGUCCCUCGUGGUUGCCUUCCGUGAGUCCCUCGUGGUCGCCAUGGCGAGCUCCUCCCUGCUGCCUGGGCUUGCGGACAGUCCUCCUACCUUCUCCAUGGCGAGCUCGUCUCUGCUGCCUCCUUCCUUGUCUGCCAUCGAGCAGGCCAUGGUGACGGCCAGAUUCACGCCUGCUCAUCAAGGUUCGACCUGGUUCAGCCCCGUCCCCGCACCAUGGAGCUCUGAUCCCACAGAUGCCGCACCUCGGCAGAAUCCCUGGAGGACAACCGCGGCUCCUCCUUAACAUCGCUCCUCCUUCAUGUCCAAGUGUCCAAGUGCAGAUCUGCAGUUAAUCAUGCAUGCCUAGUCGAUGGCAGCUCAGUGCCCAAGUCUGAUAUUUUGAUCUUUUUGGAACCAUUUGUCUACGAAGCAAAAUAAUGUGCAGUAAGAUUCUCCCAUUUAGUGUAGUAAGAUUAUGCCAUUAUGUUAACAUUAUGUGCAGUAAGAUUCUGUCAUUUUGUGUCUCUGCAUUUCAAUUAUCAACACAUAUUGAUUUGUGUAUUGAACAAAACAUAUAAGCUGUUCUUCGAAAGCUUGAUUAUUGAUUUCAGAAAAAAUGAUGUUGCCUUUUUUUUAUUGAAUCCUAAACUGAAUUUAAACUAAACUGAAUCAUUUAAUGCUAAAAUGAAGUUCAGUUCAAUUCUUUUUGCUACACGUAAUUAUCAUGCUUUGUUUUGUUUGUUUUGACACUAAUCUUUGCAAUCAAAAGCCAGAACAUGCUCAGUGGGUUCUGAAAACCACAUGAUGAGCUCAGUUACUGUGCUAAUAACUGUAAAUUCAACUCUCUUUUCCUUUUUCUGAAAGUUUAUGUGCAUCUAACUUUUCAAGUGAUGCAUUGCAAUCUGCACCAGAGCUUGUGCAGUGUACAGAGUUGACAGGGACACGUUAUUAGAGCACAAGCAGACCAAGCUCCAUAAGCUCAAAACACUAGCUAAUUUCAUGUAUUAUUAGCUUUAGCAGGAAGGGGGUCAGAACUCAGUGAGAGUACUCCAACAUGUCUAUAUUGUGAAGAUUAGCCAAUUUGAAUUUCAGUUUCAUUUCAAUUUCUCCUCACCGUCUUCACUUUCAAUCUCGUUUUCAGUUUGGUUCGACUCACCACAAGAAGAAGCAGCAGAGGUGGGGACUAGUAAGCAACAGAGGCGGGACGGGGGAAGCAGCAGCAAAGGCCGGCGUUGGGAAUCAGCACGAGUAGAGGUCGGCGCGGGGAACUAGCAGAAGCAGAGGCAUCACCCACCACCACCAGCGGCAACAGCCGGCGGCAGAAGAAGAAGUCCAGGUCGCCGUGGGCUAGCUGCGCGCGGCAGGUGGGCGGCCGAAGCGGCGGCUCAGGUGGGAAGCCGCAACAGGUGGGAGGAGCAGGUGGGAGACCGUGGCGGAGGCGCUGGUGAGCAUAGCAAGCGUGUGGCCGUGGUGGCUGCGCAGGUGCGCAGCAACAGCAGGCCGCCUCCAUGGCGGCGACGCGAGUAGGGGCGGCGCAGGUCGCUUCCUAGGCGGGGGCGAAGGUGAGAGGCGGCGGCGCUGAUGCGCGGCGGAUGCACAGGUGGGCAACGGCGCUGGUCCCCGACCCGACGGCGACGCGCGGGCGCUGGCGACUGGACAGAGGAAGGAGACGUGGACCUAUUUGUAACGGAUUUAAUGAUAGAAGGUUUGUUUUGCAAAGUCGUCAUAACACUACGCCCGUGACAACUUUUUCCGGACGGAGGGAGUAAUUUUUUUCGAGGGCCAGCGGUUUCCAGGCCUUGCACGACUCCAGGGCGAAACUGAUUGUUACAGAAUC